CGCUAUACUAGCCUCUGAAAUUGCCCGCCUGCGUCUGUGGGCGGGUGUUCAAGUAGC
This 57-nucleotide small RNA is filed under the name Klebsiella pneumoniae. RNAcentral describes it as "STnc450". It matches the Rfam family "Enterobacterial sRNA STnc450". The record is from RNAcentral. Lineage: Bacteria; Pseudomonadati; Pseudomonadota; Gammaproteobacteria; Enterobacterales; Enterobacteriaceae.